Gordionus sp. m RMFG-2023 is the source of this 845-nucleotide long non-coding RNA. RefSeq lists it as uncharacterized. The transcript is spliced from 4 exons. Lineage: Eukaryota; Metazoa; Nematomorpha; Gordioida; Chordodea; Parachordodidae. The record is from RefSeq and is a predicted model, not a curated record.
UUAAAGAAGUUUAUACCUUCCAUACUUCACGAAUCAGGGAUAGACUAUCAUUUGGUCCUCAAAAUUAUAUUUAUCCUUUAGGAUUAUUUUAUCCUUAUUUUGAUAAAUCGGAAGUGGACGAGCCUUAUCAUAGGUUUUCUCCUAACGAUUUUUUGUUGUGGUUAAAUGCAGUUACCGAGGCGUGGUACAGUGAAUGGGGUAAUCAAGGUAAAUUUUAAAAUACAGUUAAAGUUUUCCUCUUUUUUUAAAAUAUGCAGAUUCUAAGUCCUAUUAUUGAUAUGACUGAAUCCUCCAAAAUCCUGUAAUAACAAUCGUAGUCGAUCCCUUACUGUUCCAAAAUCCUGUUACACUUGACAUAAAGGCAAUUAUUCGUAGAGCCAGACCUGCUCUUUUUACAAGAAAUAUAAAUUAUAGAUUUCAACCCCAACUAGCGGCUGAAAUAUGUGCCACUAAAUAUCGGAAAAAUGGGGCAUUUUGGACAAAAUGCUAUUUUUGGAUGGCGCGUAGCCAGUUGGGGAUGGGAGAGGGAGAGCCACGCUGUAUCAAGUUAUAAAUGUACAUGAAGGCCAAUUAAUUUCAGAAUUUCAAUGGUAUGGAAGAUUCAUAUUUGUAAAUAAUCCUUCAAGGAAUACAAAUAAUAAAACCUAUAUCAAAAGUAUAACAUCUUAAAAUUGAUUGAAUAGACUAGUUUUACUCAUGGAGAUCUUCUAAUACACAGAACAAAUUACUAAAAAUUGGCCCAAUUGCAAAGAAGAAUAAAUUUUCAUUUAUUAAUAAUAUUUUGAUUAACUUUUUAAAUCAUUAUAAAAUAUUUAAUUUUAUAUUUUAUUGUGAUUUAGAUACAG